RNAcentral lists this ribosomal RNA (460 nucleotides) under uncultured bacterium. RNAcentral's name for it is "partial 16S ribosomal RNA". It matches the Rfam family "Bacterial small subunit ribosomal RNA", at positions 338 to 795 of the family's 1533-position model. The record is from RNAcentral.
CCUACGGGGGACAGCAGUGAGGAAUAUUGGUCAAUGGACGAGAGUCUGAACCAGCCAAGUAGCGUGAAGGAUGACUGCCCUAUGGGUUGUAAACUUCUUUUAUAUGGGAAUAAAGUGUUCCACGUGUGGGAUUUUGUAUGUACCAUAUGAAUAAGGAUCGGCUAACUCCGUGCCAGCAGCCGCGGUAAUACGGAGGAUCCGAGCGUUAUCCGGAUUUAUUGGGUUUAAAGGGAGCGUAGGUGGAUUGUUAAGUCAGUUGUGAAAGUUUGCGGCUCAACCGUAAAAUUGCAGUUGAAACUGGCAGGCUUGAGUACAGUAGAGGUGGGCGGAAUUCGUGGUGUAGCGGUGAAAUGCUUAGAUAUCACGAAGAACUCCGAUUGCGAAGGCAGCUCACUGGACUGCAACUGACACUGAGGCUCGAAAGUGUGGGUAUCAAACAGGAUUAGAUACCCCUGUAGUC